CAGCAGUAGCCGCGGUAAUACGGAGGGUGCAGGCGUUAAUCGGAAUUACUGGGCGUAAAGCGCGCGUAGGUGGUUUGUUAAGUUGAAUGUGAAAUCCCCGGGCUCAACCUGGGGACUGCAUCCAAAACUGGCAAGCUAGAGUAGGGCAGAGGGUGGUGGAAUUUCCUGUGUAGUGGUGAAAUGCGUAGAUAUAGGAAGGAACACCAGUGGCGAAGGCGACCACCUGGGCUCAUACUGACACUGAGGUGCGAAAGCGUGGGGAGCAAACAGGAUUAGAUACCCCCGUAGUCCCUGUCUCUUAUAC
This 304-nucleotide ribosomal RNA is filed under the name uncultured bacterium. Its description in RNAcentral is "partial 16S ribosomal RNA". It matches the Rfam family "Bacterial small subunit ribosomal RNA", at positions 506 to 807 of the family's 1533-position model. The record is from RNAcentral.